RNAcentral lists this long non-coding RNA (613 nucleotides) under Sorghum bicolor (sorghum). RNAcentral's name for it is "long non-coding RNA (SBIC_LNC009398)". Lineage: Eukaryota; Viridiplantae; Streptophyta; Magnoliopsida; Poales; Poaceae. The record is from RNAcentral.
CUGCCCCUCUCGCGGUCUGUGAAGCCAGAUAGCGCUCCCCACCCUUGGCGGGCCGGUCGGUCACCCUUCUGUUGUGGACGCCCAGCUCCCUCAUCCGCUCCCUUGCGUCUCUCCUCGUUUAGUGCCGCUGUCCGCCAUGGACAGGAAGCGUAGCUUCAUGGCCAGGCCGUUCUGAGAGUGGUGUGGAGGAUGCGGGCAAGCCUCCUGGUGCUUCCCCACCCCUCCAUCGUCGCCGACGAUGCCUCAGCCGGCCGGAGCAGAAACCUCCGGCGAGGGCGUGGUUGUCUGUUUUUUGGCGACUAGGGACCUCGGGUUAGAAUAAGAAACAACUCAGGGUUCCAGAUGCGAAGCCAAGACUCAUAUGAAUAGCGUUACUGGUCUGUGGCGCGAUUCUUGGAAAAGCUAGGGUUCCCGGUGCAAGAUCUGUUUUCCUUUUCUUUUGUUUUUUUUUGCAGAUUUUAUAGAUGAACUUUGGAAAUGCAUAGAAAUUCGUAGAAAAGUCGUAUAAUAGCAAUUGUGGACUUUUCGGAAUCCAUAUGAAAUUCUCUAUGCAAUAGAUCUAUAAUCCAGCAUGAUUUAGUUUGAAGUUUUAGUCGUAAAAAUAGAUUUAUGC